This 281-nucleotide ribosomal RNA is filed under the name Ixodes ariadnae. Its description in RNAcentral is "partial large subunit ribosomal RNA". The record is from RNAcentral. Lineage: Eukaryota; Metazoa; Arthropoda; Arachnida; Ixodida; Ixodidae.
UAUUUUGACUAUGCGAAGGUAUUGAAAUAAGGCUUUAAAUGAGUGCUAAGAGAAUGGUUUAACAAUUUUAAGCUUUCUUUAAUUAAAAAAUUGAAUUUAAUUUUUUUUGUGAAGAAGCAAAAAUUUAAAUUAGGGACAAGAAGACCCUAUGAAUUUUGAAUUAAACAAUAUAAUUUGUAUAGGUUUAUUUUGUUUAAAUUAAUUGGGGUGAUUUGGAAAGAAUAUGUAUCUUUUUAAGAAAAUUAAUUUGUUCCGUUUUUAACGAUUUUAUGAAAAAAAUA